AGCAGCCGCGGUAAUUCCAGCUCCAAUAGCGUAUAUUAAAGUUGUUGCAGUUAAAAGCUCGUAGUUGAAUUUCGGGAUCAGUACGCUGGUCAUGCCUUUGGUAUGCACUGGUGUCACUGGUUUCUCCCUUCUGAAGAACCGUGAUGUCAUUAAUUUGGUGUCGCGGGGAAUCAGGACUGUUACUUUGAAAAAAUUGAGUGUUUAAAGCGGGCUCACGCUUGAAUACAUUAGCAUGGAAUAAUGAAAUAGGACGUUUGACCCUAUUUUGUGGUUUCUAGGAUCGACGUAAUGAUUAAUAGGGAUAGUUGGGGCAUUAGUAUUCAAUUGUCAGAGGUGAAAUUCUUGGAUUUAUUGAAAGACUAACUACUGCGAAAGCAAUUUGCCAAGGAUGUUUCAUUAAUCAAGAACGAAGGUUAGGGAUCGAAGACGAUCAGAUACCGUCGUAGUCUUAACCAUAAACUAUG
Molecule: ribosomal RNA, 464 nt
Filed under: uncultured Glomus
Lineage: Eukaryota; Fungi; Glomeromycota; Glomeromycetes; Glomerales; Glomeraceae
Description: SSU rRNA
Rfam family: Eukaryotic small subunit ribosomal RNA
Source: RNAcentral